This 484-nucleotide ribosomal RNA is filed under the name uncultured bacterium. RNAcentral's name for it is "bacterial SSU rRNA". It matches the Rfam family "Bacterial small subunit ribosomal RNA", at positions 28 to 524 of the family's 1533-position model. The record is from RNAcentral.
GACGAACGCUGGCGGCGUGCUUAACACAUGCAAGUCAAGGGGGCCCGUAAGGGUAACCGGCGAACGGGUGCGUAACACGUGAGCAAUCUGCCUAGAUGUGGGGGAUAGCCGGCCCAACGGCCGGGUAAUACCGCAUACGCUCGUCGACUGGCAUCAGUUGACGAGGAAACUUUCGAGGCAUCUAGAGGAGCUCGCGGCCUAUCAGCUAGUUGGUGGGGUAACGGCCUACCAAGGCGGUGACGGGUAGCUGGUCUGAGAGGAUGGCCAGCCACAUUGGGACUGAGAUACGGCCCAGACUCCUACGGGAGGCAGCAGUGGGGAAUAUUGCGCAAUGGCCGAAAGGCUGACGCAGCGACGCCGCGUGGGGGAUGAAGCAUUUCGGUGUGUAAACCCCUGUUGCUCGGGACGAACAAGCCUUUUCGAGGGCUCUGACGGUACCGAGUGAGGAAGCACCGGCUAACUCCGUGCCAGCAGCCGCGGUAAU